Molecule: unclassified non-coding RNA, 608 nt
Filed under: Hevea brasiliensis (rubber tree)
Lineage: Eukaryota; Viridiplantae; Streptophyta; Magnoliopsida; Malpighiales; Euphorbiaceae
Source: RNAcentral
UCUUAAUUCUGCAGAAAGAAUUGCUCUUGCCAAAAGUUUUCCAGGAUCCCUUACAAAGAAAGCUCUUGCAGUUGUGGAAGCUUUGGAAGGGAAGCGGGUAGAAGCAUUCAUGACUUCACUGAGAGAAAUGGCAGAGGAAAGUGGCUUACUGUUGAAGAAGCUUGACAAAAAAUUGGAAAGAAGUCUUCUGCAUUCAUAUCGCAAGGAUUUGUCAGCUCAAGUUUCUGCUGAAACUGAUCCAGUGACUCUUCUGCCUAAAGUUGUUUCCCUACUCUAUAUUCAGGUUUGCAGUAAAGCCCUUCAAGCCCCCGGAAGGGCCAUUUCUAUUGCUGUGUCUCGAUUGAAGGACAAACUAGAUGAUUCAGCAUAUAAGAUCUUGACUGAUUACCAAACUGCAACAGUGACACUUUUAUCUCUUGUUUCUGUUGCAACUGGUGAUGAAGAAGACUGUACAUCUGAUAGAAUUUUGAGUAAAAGAGAGUUCCUAGAGAAUCUAAUGCCCGCAUUGAAAGGGCUGGUUUUAAACACUUCCCAAUCUUGAGAUAGCAUGAUUUCAAAUUUCCCGAGGUGUUUGGCAGCUGAGAAAAAAAAUUUGCAUUGACCAGGCA